GCGGAGGAAAAGAAACCAACAGGGAUUGCCCUAGUAACGGCGAGUGAAGCGGCAACAGCUCAAAUUUGAAAUCUGGCCUCGGCCCGAGUUGUAAUUUGCAGAGGAAGCUUUAGGCGCGGCACCUUCUGAGUCCCCUGGAACGGGGCGCCAUAGAGGGUGAGAGCCCCGUAUAGUUGGAUGCCUAGCCUGUGUAAAGCUCCUUCGACGAGUCGAGUAGUUUGGGAAUGCUGCUCAAAAUGGGAGGUAAAUUUCUUCUAAAGCUAAAUACCGGCCAGAGACCGAUAGCGCACAAGUAGAGUGAUCGAAAGAUGAAAAGCACUUUGAAAAGAGGGUUAAAAAGCACGUGAAAUUGUUGAAAGGGAAGCGCUUGUGACCAGACUUGCGCCGGGCUGAUCAUCCGGUGUUCUCACCGGUGCACUCGGCCCGGCACAGGCCAGCAUCGGUUCUCGCGGGGGGAUAAAGGUCCCGGGAACGUAGCUCCUCCGGGAGUGUUAUAGCCCGGGGCGUAAUGCCCUCGCGGGGACCGAGGUUCGCGCAUCUGCAAGGAUGCUGGCGUAAUGGUCAUCAGCGACCCGUCUUGAAACACGGACCAAGGAGUCAAGGUUUUGCGCGAGUGUUUGGGUGUCAAACCCGCACGCGUAAUGAAAGUGAACGUAGGUGAGAGCUUCGGCGCAUCAUCGACCGAUCCUGAUGUUUUCGGAUGGAUUUGAGUAGGAGCGUUAAGCCUUGGACCCGAAAGAUGGUGAACUAUGCUUGGAUAGGGUGAAGCCAGAGGAAACUCUGGUGGAGGCUCGCAGCGGUUCUGACGUGCAAAUCGAUCGUCAAAUCUGAGCAUGGGGGCGAAAGA
Molecule: ribosomal RNA, 847 nt
Filed under: Botryotrichum murorum
Lineage: Eukaryota; Fungi; Ascomycota; Sordariomycetes; Sordariales; Chaetomiaceae
Description: eukaryotic LSU rRNA
Rfam family: Eukaryotic large subunit ribosomal RNA
Source: RNAcentral